Molecule: ribosomal RNA, 462 nt
Filed under: Streptococcus sp. oral taxon 064
Lineage: Bacteria; Bacillati; Bacillota; Bacilli; Lactobacillales; Streptococcaceae
Description: bacterial SSU rRNA
Rfam family: Bacterial small subunit ribosomal RNA
Source: RNAcentral
GACGAACGCUGGCGGCGUGCCUAAUACAUGCAAGUAGAACGCUGAAGGAGGAGCUUGCUCUUCUGGAUGAGUUGCGAACGGGUGAGUAACGCGUAGGUAACCUGCCUGGUAGCGGGGGAUAACUAUUGGAAACGAUAGCUAAUACCGCAUAACAGUAGAUGUCGCGUGACACUUGCUUAAAAGGUGCAAUUGCAUCACUACCAGAUGGACCUGCGUUGUAUUAGCUAGUUGGUGAGGUAACGGCUCACCAAGGCAACGAUACAUAGCCGACCUGAGAGGGUGAUCGGCCACACUGGGACUGAGACACGGCCCAGACUCCUACGGGAGGCAGCAGUAGGGAAUCUUCGGCAAUGGACGGAAGUCUGACCGAGCAACGCCGCGUGAGUGAAGAAGGUUUUCGGAUCGUAAAGCUCUGUUGUAAGAGAAGAACGAGUGUGAGAGUGGAAAGUUCACACUGUGACG